AGUGAACGCUGGCGGUAGGCCUAACACAUGCAAGUCGAACGGCAGCACAGUAAGAGCUUGCUCUGACGGGUGGCGAGUGGCGGGCGGGUGAGGAAUAUAUCGUAAUCUACUUUUUCGUGGGAGAUAACGUAGGUAAACUUACGCUAAUACCGCAUACGACCUACGGGGGAAAGCAGGGGAUCUUCGGGCCUGGCGCGAUUGAAUGAGCCGAUGUCGGAUUAGCUAGUUGGCGGGGUAAAGGCCCACGAAGGCGGCGAUCCGUAGCUGGUCUGAGAGGAUGGUCGGCCACACUGGAACUGGGCCGCGGUCCAUAGUCCUACGGGACGCAGCAGUGGGGAAUAUUAGGCAGUGGGCGCAAACCUGGUCCGGCCAUACCGCGUCGGAGACGGAGGCGUUCGGGUUGUAAUGCCCUUUUGUUGGGAGAGAAAAGCAGCAGCUUAAUACCCAGCUGUUCUGACGGUACCCAAAGAAUAAGCACCGGCUAACUUCGUG
This 492-nucleotide ribosomal RNA is filed under the name uncultured bacterium. RNAcentral's name for it is "partial 16S ribosomal RNA". It matches the Rfam family "Bacterial small subunit ribosomal RNA", at positions 29 to 507 of the family's 1533-position model. The record is from RNAcentral.